RNAcentral lists this unclassified non-coding RNA (400 nucleotides) under soil metagenome. RNAcentral's name for it is "partial contains 5.8S ribosomal RNA, internal transcribed spacer 2, and large subunit ribosomal RNA". The stretch from base 1 to 122 matches the Rfam family "5.8S ribosomal RNA", at positions 35 to 154 of the family's 154-position model. The record is from RNAcentral.
GAUGAAGAACGUAGCGAAAUGCGAUACUUGGUGUGAAUUGCAGAAUCCCGUGAACCAUCGAGUCUUUGAACGCAAGUUGCGCCUCAAGCCAUUAGGUUGAGGGCACGUCUGCCUGGGCGUCACAUAUCGUUGCCUGAUGCCAGCUUCCUCGUGAUGGGUGACUGUGCAGGGCGAAUGAUGGCUUCCCGUGAGCAUUGUUGCCUCAUGGUUGGUUGAAAAUUGAGUCCUUGGUAGGGAGCGCCGUGAUAGAUGGUGGUUGAGUGACGAACGAGACCCAAUCAUGUGAGACCCCUACCGAAUUUGGCCUUCAUGACCCACAUGCGUCUUUGGAACGCUCAUGACGAGACCUCAGGUCAGGCGGGGCUACCCGCUGAGUUUAAGCAUAUCAAUAAGCGGAGGA